AUUGAACGCUGGCGGCAUGCCUUACACAUGCAAGUCGAACGGCAGCACGGGUGCUUGCACCUGGUGGCGAGUGGCGAACGGGUGAGUAAUACAUCGGAACGUACCUUAUCGUGGGGGAUAACGCAGCGAAAGCUGUGCUAAUACCGCAUACGCCCUGAGGGGGAAAGCGGGGGAUCGCAAGACCUCGCGCGAUUAGAGCGGCCGAUGCCUGAUUAGCUAGGUGGUGGGGUAAAAGCCCACCAAGGCGACGAUCAGUAGCUGGUCUGAGAGGACGGUCAGCCACACAGGGACUGAGACACGGCCCAGACUCCUACGGGAGGCAGCAGUGGGGAAUUUUGGACAAUGGGGGCAACCCUGAUCCAGCAAUGCCGCGUGAGUGAAGAAGGCCUUCGGGUUGUAAAGCUCUUUUGUCAGGGAAGAAACACCGGCUCUAACACAGUCCGGGAAUGACGGUACCUGAAGAAUAAGCACCGGCUAACUACGUGCCAGCAGCCGCCGUAA
This 501-nucleotide ribosomal RNA is filed under the name uncultured bacterium. RNAcentral describes it as "partial 16S ribosomal RNA". It matches the Rfam family "Bacterial small subunit ribosomal RNA", at positions 29 to 523 of the family's 1533-position model. The record is from RNAcentral.